This 587-nucleotide ribosomal RNA is filed under the name Lobophora papenfussii. Its description in RNAcentral is "LSU rRNA". It matches the Rfam family "Eukaryotic large subunit ribosomal RNA", at positions 56 to 626 of the family's 3401-position model. The record is from RNAcentral. Lineage: Eukaryota; Phaeophyceae; Dictyotales; Dictyotaceae.
GAAAAGAAACUAANUAGGAUUCCCCCAGUAACGGCGAGUGAAGCGGGAAGAGCUCAAGUUUGAAAUCCAGCACCCCCGAGGGGUGCAGGAGUUGUAACCUAGAGGUGCGUGUUUGCCUGCCGGUGGGGCUGCGGCUAAGUCCGAUUUGAAAAGGGCACCAAGGAGGGUGGCAGUCCCGUUCGUGCCGUGGUCCUUCCGGCGAUGUGGCCCGCUUCCGACGAGUCGAGUUGCUUGGGAUUGCAGCUCAAAGUGGGUGGUAAACUCCAUCCAAAGCUAAACACGUGUGGGAGACCGAUAGCGAACAAGUACCGUGAGGGAAAGAUGCAAAGAACUUUGAAAAGAGAGUCAAAGAGUGCCUGAAAUUGCUGAGAGGGAAGCGAAGGAAAGUAGUGUCGAUCGAGGGGAUCUUGCACAUGGGGAACGGCUCGGUGGGCCCUCCCCGUUAUCCCCCGCGUUGUCAGGGGCGGGUGUGGUCAAGUCGGUGGCUGCGGCAUGCCAAGUAUAGGUUUUCCGAGGUAACAGCCGGAUGAAUGCUGUGUGUCAAUAUUAUUAUUAUUAUUAUAAUUAUUAGUGCCCCGCCCGCGGCC